This 55-nucleotide ribosomal RNA is filed under the name Nitrososphaeria archaeon. RNAcentral describes it as "partial 23S ribosomal RNA". The record is from RNAcentral. Lineage: Archaea; Thermoproteati; Nitrososphaerota; Nitrososphaeria.
GCGGAUAAGGGCUGAAAGCAUCUAAGCCCGAAGCCGCUCCCGAGAUCAGGCGGCC